RNAcentral lists this ribosomal RNA (506 nucleotides) under uncultured bacterium. RNAcentral describes it as "bacterial SSU rRNA". It matches the Rfam family "Bacterial small subunit ribosomal RNA", at positions 1000 to 1506 of the family's 1533-position model. The record is from RNAcentral.
GCAGAAAUGCAUGUUCUCUUCGGAGCACUGGAGACAGGUGGUGCAUGGUUGUCGUCAGCUCGUGUCGCGAGAUGUUGGGUUAAGUCCCGCAACGAGCGCAACCCUUAUCCUUAGUAGCCAGCAGGGAAAGCUGGGCACUCUAGGGAGACUGCCAGGGAUCACCUGGAGGAAGGUGGGGAUGACGUCAAAUCAUCAUGCCCCUUAUGAUUUGGGCUACACACGUGCUACAAUGGCGUAAACAAAGGGAAGCGAAGUGGCGACAUGGAGCGAACCCCAAAAAUAACGUCUCAGUUCGGAUUGCAGGCUGCAACCCGCCUGCAUGAAGCCGGAAUCGCUAGUAAUCGCAGAUCAGAAUGCUGCGGUGAAUACGUUCCCGGGUCUUGUACACACCGCCCGUCACACCAUGGGAGUCGAUAACGCCCGAAGUCAGUGACCCAACCGAAAGGAGGGAGCUGCCGAAGGCGGGAUGGAUAACUGGGGUGAAGUCGUAACAAGGUAGCCGUAUC